UUUAAAUCCUGUUUUUCCCACUUACUAUUCUGGCCAGAUAUCCCAUGAAGCAGUGGGUAAGAGGACAGGAAAAAGC
Molecule: microRNA precursor, 76 nt
Filed under: Gorilla gorilla gorilla (western lowland gorilla)
Lineage: Eukaryota; Metazoa; Chordata; Mammalia; Primates; Hominidae
Description: miRNA (ENSGGOG00000042995.1)
Source: RNAcentral